GAAAUCACUCGUGCACAAUCCGACGAGCUACAACCUUCCUAUAACAUCACAUAUCUCAUUAACACUUAUAACUUCUAAGGGUGACUAUCCCUAAGAAGUCAGACUUAGGUCAACUCUGGUCAACGGUCAACGGUCAACUCAACCGGACUCGGCGAGUCCCAUGGCGACUCGGCGAGUCUAGUCGUCCUCACAAAUUCCUGAAUAUUCCCUUUCUACUCGUCGAGUAUCCCUCUUGACUCGACGAGGUCCUCGUGGAAGAAUCGCGGGGCCACCCCGACUCCACUCGCCGAGUCUGAUGAACAACUCGGCGAGUCCCAGUAAAUCUUCAAGCUACUCGCCGAGUCUGAAGAACAACUCGGCGAGUCCAUGCCAUGCAGACGAGUAACUGCUUCCUGAGAUAGGUCUCGUCCCGAAGUACACAUGCAUGGGACCUUCUGGACCUCUAAAGGUCCUAAUACAAGAUUAUAGUCGUGGGGUAACAAGGCAUUACUUCAUCAAAUCACUAAAUGGGUUCUAUAAACCCUAAUUUCAUAAAUACAUCAAUAUAGCAGAGCAUACACGAAUUCUUACCUGGAUGAUGUAUUCUCUGUAUUCCCAAUCCUCAGAAUGUGACCCCUUGCUGCUCUUUUAGCCAAUCCUUCCUCUUCCUUGCACACCCACUCUUCUAUAACCAACAAUGGCCUAAGAUCCUUGCUCCUGCUGCACUAAUCGAUUUAGGGUUCUUCUCAGAAGGCUAAAACGAACAAUGACGGCCAAUGGACCCCUUUUAUACGUCCCAAACCUGAACGGUUAGGGUUUCCGCUAAACAGCGUCGACUCGCCGAGUCCAUAUCUGGACUCGUCGAGUCCAGUCGCGGACCCGCGACCAAGUCUGCGAUCCUACUCGGCGAGUCUAGGCUCCAACUCGCCGAGUCCCCUCUUAAAUCACCCCAAAAACAUAAUUUUAAUAAUACCUGAGAUUCCGGGCUGUUACAAUUUUCCCCCACUUGGAUUAGACUUCGCCCUCGAAGUCUCACUCUGCAAAUAGUUCCGGAUGCUGCUCCCGCAUUUCGCGCUCCGGUUCCCAAGUCAUUUCUGAUCCCUUACGGUGUUGCCAUUGAACCAACACCAGAGGUACCUCCUUGUUCCUCAGAACCUUGAUCUUCCGGUCCCUGAUAGCCACUGGUCUCUCCGCGUAAUUCAGACUCGCAUCCACCUGAAUAUCCUCCAAUGGAACCACUGCCGACUCAUCGGCUAUGCACUUCCUCAACUGCGACACAUGAAAAGUGUCAUGGAUCUGACCCAACUCCGCUGGCAACUCCAACCGGUAGGCUACCCGACCUAUCCUUGCAAUCACACGAAAUGGCCCAAUAUACCGGGGCCCCAACUUGCCUCUCUUCCUGAACCGAAUCACUCCUUUCCAAGGAGAGACCUUCAGGAGAACGAAGUCGCCGACUUGAAAUUCAAGCUCGGAUCGGCGCCUGUCUGCAUAACUCUUCUGUCGGCUCUGGGCAGUCAAUAAUCUUUGUCUCACUUGUUGAAUCUGCUCUGUCGUCUGGAGUAUGAUCUCCGUGCUGCCCAUCACUCUCUGUCCCACCUCUCCCCAGCAAAUGGGAGUCCGACACCUCCUACCAUACAACAGCUCGAAAGGCGGCAUACCAAUGCUCGAAUGAUGGCUGUUGUUGUAGGAAAACUCUGCCAAUGGUAAAUACGCAUCCCAACUACCCCCGAAGUCUAACACACACGCUCGGAGCAUGUCCUCCAGUGUCUGAAUUGUCCGCUCGCUCUGACCGUCUGUCUGGGGAUGGUAUGCGGUACUAAAAUGCAAUUUAGUACCCAGCUCCUCAUGAAAUUUCUUCCAGAAUCUGGAAGUAAAGCGCACAUCACGGUCUGACACAAUCGAGAUCGGCACCCCGUGCCGAGAUACCACCUCUCUCACGUAUAUCUCCGCCAAUUUCUCCGCCGAAGAACUCUCACUGAUGGCAAGGAAGUGUGCACUCUUUGUCAACCUAUCCACGAUCACCCAAAUUGCGUCAACUCCCCUAGCAGUCCUCGGCAAUUUGGUGAUAAAAUCCAUAGUAAUCUGUUCCCACUUCCACUCGGGGAUCUCCAAUGGCUGUAACUUGCCAUGCGGUCUCUGGUGCUCAGCCUUAACCCUACGGCAGGUCAAGCACCUCUCAACGAACCAUGCCACGUCCCUCUUCAUACAGGGCCACCAAUAUUCCUUCCUUAAAUCCAAAUACAUCUUUGUAGCACCGGGAUGGAUCGAGAAUUUCGAUUUAUGAGCCUCUUCCAUCAACGUAAUACGCGUACCGCCCACGAACGGUACCCAAAUCCGACCCUGAAACGUCAUAAGGCCUCGACUAUCCUUGACAAACUCUGAGAUUAACCCCACAACCCGCUCUUUCUUCUGCAUUUCUGGUCGCACAGCCUCUGCCUGGGCCCCACGAAUAGCGUCCAAUACUGGAGUCAUCACAGUCAGUCUCAAGCAUACGUCUCGCAAUGGAGUGCUCUCCGCCCUGCGGCUCAAUGCAUCGGCUACCACAUUAGCCUUGCCUGGGUGGUACAGGAUCUCACAAUCAUAAUCCUUGACCACAUCCAACCACCUCCUCUGACGCAUAUUUAGGUUGGGUUGAUCCAUCAAAUACUUCAAACUCUUAUGGUCCGUGUAUAUCGUACAUCGAACCCCAUACAAGUAGUGACGCCAAAUCUUGAGAGCGAACACUACUGCCCCCAACUCUAAAUCAUGCGUGGGAUAUCUCGCCUCAUGAGGCUUCAGCUGCCUCGACGCAUAAGCUAUCACAUGACCCCUCUGCAUCAACACUGCACCCAAUCCCGAAAUCGAUGCGUCGCAAUAUACCACGAAAUCUUCCAUCCCUUCUGGGAGAGCUAAUACCGGGGCUUCGCACAAUCUCUGGCGAAGUGUCUCAAAGGAGGUCUGCUGCUCGGGCCCCCAUGAGAAUGUAACACCCUUCCGGGUCAAUCUGGUGAGUGGCACUGCGAUCUUGGAGAAAUCCUUGAUAAAUCUCCGAUAAUACCCUGCCAACCCAAGGAAACUUCUGAUCUCAGAGGGUGACUUCGGCACCUCCCAACUCAUCACCGCCUCAACCUUGGCCGGAUCGACCAAUAUCCCUUUCUGAUUAACCACAUGUCCUAGAAACUGGACCUCCCGCAACCAGAAGUCACAUUUGGAGAACUUUGCAUAAAGCUUCUCCGACCUCAAUACCUCAAGGACCUCCCUCAAAUGCUCCUCAUGCUGCUCUCUAGAUCUCGAAUACACCAGAAUGUCGUCGAUAAAUACAAUCACUGACCGAUCCAACAUCGGCCUGCAUACCCUGUUCAUGAGAUCCAUGAACACAGCCGGGGCAUUGGUGAGUCCAAAAGGCAUCACCACAAACUCAUAAUGCCCAUAUCGCGUCCUAAACGCUGUCUUCUGGACGUCCUCAUCCCGUACUCUCACCUGAUGGUAUCCUGACCUCAGAUCGAUCUUGGAAAACCAAGAUGCUCCCUGCAACUGAUCGAAUAAAUCAUCGAUCCUCGGCAACGGGUAACGGUUCUUGACCGUUAGCUUGUUCAACUCCCGGUAAUCAAUGCACAUCCGGUGUGAACCAUCCUUCUUCUUGACGAACAGAAUAGGUGCUCCCCAUGGCGAGCUGCUCGGCCGAAUGAAUCCCUUUCCCAGCAACUCCUGGAGUUGCGAGGACAACUCUUGCAUCUCUGGAGGUGCAAGACGAUAGGGCACUUUAGCAAUAGGCGCUGCCCCCGGAACCAGAUCGAUACUAAACUCUACUUGCCUCACAGGCGGUACUCCCGGCAACUCCUCGGGAAAGACAUCUGAAAACUCGCGCACCACCGGAACUUCCUCAACUGACUUCGGUUUCUCAGAAACCUCCCGCGUAUCCAUCACAUACGCCACGAAACCCUUACAGCCCUGUCGUAGACACUGCCUCGCCCUAGCGGCCGAACAAAAAGCUGAUCCCGAACGGGUACCCUCGCCGUAUACCGAAAGAACUCCCCCACUAGGGUCUCGUAUAGUCACCAACUGACGCUCACAGUCGAUGACAGCGCCGAACCGGCUCAACCAGUCCAUGCCCACGAUGACACAGACAUCCCCCAUCGCGAUAGGAAUCAGAUCAAUCGGGAAUCCAACCCCGAAAAUCUCUAGUACACAUCCCCGAAGAACCUCCGUAGCACAAAUCACCUUCUCGUCAGCUAUAGAGACUCUCAAAGGUCGACUCAACGACUCACGACUAACGCCAAUAUGCUGACUAAAGGCCAAGGACACAAAGGACCUACUCGCACCCGAGUCAAAUAACACUAAGGCAGGCACAGAGUUCACAAGGAAAGUACCUACGCGCAUAAUAACAUAAGCAUAACAUAUCGACAUUAAAAUAAUUACAUGAAUUACAACAUACCUGCCACAACAUCGGGCGCAGCGCGGACCUCCUCCGCAGUCAGCUGAAAGGCUCUCCCACGAGCCCUCGGGGCCUCGACCUUCACCGGUCGAGUCUCAGUAGUCCUGGCAACAGGUGCAGAUCCCUGACGAAGCUGAGGGCACUCGGCCUUCCGAUGGCCGGUCUGGUUGCAAUGAAAGCAAACCAUAAAUCCCUUGGGACACUCCCUAGCAAUGUGUCCCUCCUUGCCACACUUGUAGCAAGCACCGGCUCGACACGCCCCAUCGUGACCCUUACCGCACUUUACGCAAGUGCGGUUCUUCGAACCUCCCGUCCUCGAAUCGGCGGACUUGAUCCGCUUGGCUGCCGGCUGAGACUGAGCCGGUCGCCGGUCUGCCUGCUGAGACUCGGCCUCCUCCCUGGCCUGAGUCUCUAACUCGAUCUCACGCUUCCUGGCAUUCGCCUGAAGCUCAGUAAAAGUAUGGUAAGUGGAGUUUGACACAAACUCCCGGAUCUCCCUCCUCAGAACACCCAAGUACCGGCUCAUCCGAGCCUGCUCUGUGGCCACCAGCUCGGGGCAAAACAUCGCCCUCUCAUGGAACUUCCGCGUGAUCGCCGCCACCGAAUCAGUACCCUGCUUGAGGGUUAAGAACUCCUGAACCAAUCGUUCCCGCUCCACCGGGGGAACGUACUCAUCCCUGAACAUGGUAGUGAACCCCUCCCAUGUCACUGCCGCAGUCUCUGCCAAAGUGAAGUUCGCCGUCACGAACUUCCACCAGUCCUUUGCUCCCAGACGGAGCUGGUUCAAAGCGAACCGUACCCUCAGGUGCUCCGGGCAUGAACAAGUGUAGAAGCACCCCUCUAUAUCUGCGAUCCACCUCAUCGCAGCAAUCGGAUCCUGCGUCCCAUCGAACUCUGGUGGCUUCGUGUUGCUGAACUCUCGGAACAGCAAUGAAUCACCCCCCUGUGGCCUAGCAGCGGCCACAGCUGCGGUAGCUGCAGCGGUUGCAGCCUCAGUCAAUGCGGCGUACCGCUCGUCGAACGUCUCCAUCAGGGUGGUCUUGAUAGACCCAAACAUCUCCGGGAUCUCAGCCCGGAUCGCCGCCGCCACCUCCUCGUGGAUCAUCUGACGAAUAUCCUCGUCACUCACACCGCUCGUACUUGCUCCGUGACGCGGUCUAACCAUGAUAUCUCUGAAAUACAACAUAAAACUAUCAGAGAUUCUACCGAGUAUAAUCGUACUCGAUACGCAACCCUACUCAGUCCCAGAUAUCCAGGGAUUCUUACUUGGGCCUCCCACUGACCCGGUGUCCUCGGUAGUACGGGCCCAAUACUACCGACCACACCGCAUCAAUGUUCAUCCCAAGUCCUCCUCCCCAAACUCCAGAUAGUGAGUACUCUACUUCUGAUACGCUCUAUCUACCCGCAUACUAGCAAAGCAUCUCAUAUAGGCAACUUCCCUAGACUAAGGCAUCACAAAUCAGGCCACUCUAGUCCUAUCAUGAAUACCUAGUCUUCUAGCAUGCAUAACAAUUCAUAUCAUAUAAUAUUGUAAGGUAUUUUGGGGAUCUUUACCGUUCGGGCGCUGACUGAUCGUACACACUGCUUCUUUCUUGCUUACCACAAAACCAUUUACAAAAGUUUAUGCCUUUAUUUGAAAAGUUUCCUCAAAUCCUCGGUUUGAGUUCAGUUACCCCCGAAGGUGCACCCGAAUCCCUCAAACCAAGGCUCUGAUACCAAUUGUAACAACUCAAAUUUUUCAAACAAAUUUUUCAUUUUUAAAACAUAAUUAUUUCCAUUAAAAACAAGGCAUAAACAGUUCAAUUAUUCGGUCAAUACAAUUAUUCAAACUCCCAAGAUCAUAAAACAAUCUUCAGUGUGUAUCGAUCAUGCCGGCGCCUUCCCACGGUCCUCACUAGUACCUGAAAUACAUGCACAACAACUGUAAGCAUAAAUGCUUAGUGAGUUCCCCAAUAUACACUUACGCACAUACGCCUUUCCAGGCCCUGACCUUCCGGUCCUCAUUACAACGCCUUCCGGCCCAUAACAUAAUCGCCUUCCGGCCCAUAACAUAUUGCCUUCCGGCCCACAUAUCAUACAUAGCACAUAUAACACUUAACUUACCACAUAUAGCAUACAUAUCCAUAUAACACUUAACUUACCACUUAUAGCAUACAUAUCCAUAUAACACUUAACUUACCACUUAUAGCAUAUAAACAUAAUACAUAACAUACUUGACCUUCCGGUCACACAGUCAAACCCUUCCGGGUACAGUAUAGUGAGAAGACUCACCUCGUAAGUGCUGAAAGCUAGCAACUCCUGAAAUCACUCGUGCACAAACCAACGAGCUACAACCCUCCUAUAACAUUACAUAACUCAUUAACACUCAUAUCAUCUAAGUGUGACUAUCCCUAAGAAGUCAGACUUAGGUCAACUCUGGUCAACGGUCAACGGUCAACUCGACUGGACUCGGCGAGUACCAUGGCGACUCGGCGAGUCUAGUCGUCCUCACAGAUUCCUGAAUAUUCCCUUUCUACUCGUCGAGUAUACCUCUUGACUCGACGAGGUCCUCGUGGAAGAAUCGCGGGGCCACCCCGACUCCACUCGCCGAGUCUGAUGAACAACUCGGCGAGUCCCA
This 7010-nucleotide long non-coding RNA is filed under the name Lactuca sativa (garden lettuce). RNAcentral describes it as "long non-coding RNA (LSAT_LNC000957)". Lineage: Eukaryota; Viridiplantae; Streptophyta; Magnoliopsida; Asterales; Asteraceae. The record is from RNAcentral.